Molecule: unclassified non-coding RNA, 253 nt
Filed under: plant metagenome
Description: partial contains small subunit ribosomal RNA, internal transcribed spacer 1, and 5.8S ribosomal RNA
Source: RNAcentral
UUUCCGUAGGUGAACCUGCGGAAGGAUCAUUACUGAGCUUUGAAUGAAGUUGUUCUGGUCUUUCGUGGCUAGUGAACGGUUCUCUCAAUCCAACUUACACCUGUGCACCUAUCGGGGAAGACUUGGAUCUAAGUUGGGUCACGACGGCGAUCUACAGUCUCCUCUUUAUACCAAAUAACAGUUUUAGAAAGUCUUUUUUGCUUGAUGCAAACUUAAAUAAAUACAACUUUCAGCAACGGAUCUCUUGGCUCUC